AGGACGAACGCUGGCGGCGUGCUUAACACAUGCAAGUCGAGCGGUAAGGCUCCUUCGGGAGUACACGAGCGGCGAACGGGUGAGUAACACGUGAGCAAUCUGCCCUUCACACGGGGGAUAACUCCGGGAAAACCGGUGCUAAUACCCGAUACGACCACCUCAGGCAUCUGAUGGUGGUGGAAAGUUCCGGCGGUGAAGGAUGAGCUCGCGGCCUAUCAGCUUGUUGGUGGGGUAAAGGCCCACCAAGGCAACGACGGGUAGCCGGCCUGAGAGGGUGACCGGCCACACUGGGACUGAGACACGGCCCAGACUCCUACGGGAGGCAGCAGUGGGGAAUAUUGGACAAUGGGCGAAAGCCUGAUCCAGCAACGCCGCGUGAGGGAUGACGGCCUUCGGGUUGUAAACCUCUUUCAGCAGGGACGAAGCGCAAGUGACGGUACCUGCAGAGAAGCACCGGCCAACUACGCGCCAGCAGCCGCGGUAA
RNAcentral lists this ribosomal RNA (484 nucleotides) under uncultured bacterium. RNAcentral's name for it is "SSU rRNA". It matches the Rfam family "Bacterial small subunit ribosomal RNA", at positions 26 to 523 of the family's 1533-position model. The record is from RNAcentral.